This 329-nucleotide ribosomal RNA is filed under the name uncultured eukaryote. RNAcentral's name for it is "partial 18S ribosomal RNA". It matches the Rfam family "Eukaryotic small subunit ribosomal RNA", at positions 1470 to 1796 of the family's 1831-position model. The record is from RNAcentral.
CCCUUAGAUGUUCUGGGCCGCACGCGCGCUACACUGACGAUGGCAACGAGUUUUUCCUUCGCCGAAAGGUGUGGGUAAUCUUUUGAAACAUCGUCGUGCUGGGGAUAGAUCAUUGCAAUUUUCGAUCUUGAACGAGGAAUUCCUAGUAAGCGCGAGUCAUCAGCUCGCGUUGAUUACGUCCCUGCCCUUUGUACACACCGCCCGUCGCUACUACCGAUUGAAUGGUUUAGUGAGGACUCCUGAUUGGCGCCGCCGCCCCGGCAACGGAGCAGCGGACUGCCGAAAAGUUGUUCAAACUUGAUCAUUUAGAGGAAGUAAAAGUCGUAACA